Molecule: ribosomal RNA, 794 nt
Filed under: uncultured Pelagibacteraceae bacterium
Lineage: Bacteria; Pseudomonadati; Pseudomonadota; Alphaproteobacteria; Candidatus Pelagibacterales; Candidatus Pelagibacteraceae
Description: bacterial SSU rRNA
Rfam family: Bacterial small subunit ribosomal RNA
Source: RNAcentral
ACGCCUUAUACAUGCAAGUCGAACGAAGUAGCAAUACUUAGUGGCAGACGGGUGAGUAACAUGUAGGUAUCUGCCCUUUGGCCUGGAAUAACACGAGGAAACUUGUGCUAAUACUGGAUAAGUCUUUACGGAGAAAGCUUUAUGCACCAUUGGAUGAGCCUGCACUUGAUUAGUUUGUUGGUGGGGUAAUGGCCUACCAAGACUAUGAUCAAUAGCUGAUUUGAGAGGAUGAUCAGCCACAUUGGAACUGAGACACGGUCCAAACUCCUACGGGAGGCAGCAGUAGGGAAUCUUGCACAAUGGAGGAAACUCUGAUGCAGCGAUGCCGCGUGAGUGAAGAAGGCCUUUGGGUUGUAAAGCUCUUUCGUCGGGGAAGAAAAUGACUGUACCCGAAUAAGAAGGUCCGGCUAACUUCGUGCCAGCAGCCGCGGUAAUACGAAGGGACCUAGCGUAGUUCGGAAUUACUGGGCUUAAAGAGUUCGUAGGUGGUUAAAAAAGUUGGUGGUGAAAUCCCAGAGCUUAACUCUGGAACUGCCAUCAAAACUUUUUAGCUAGAGUAUGGUAGAGGAAAGCAGAAUUUCUAGUGUAGAGGUGAAAUUCGUAGAUAUUAGAAAGAAUACCGAUUGCGAAGGCAGCUUUCUGGAUCAUUACUGACACUGAGGAACGAAAGCAUGGGUAGCGAAGAGGAUUAGAUACCCUCGUAGUCCAUGCCGUAAACGAUGUGUGUUAGACGUUGGAAAUUUAUUUUCAGUGUCGCAGCGAAAGCAAUAAACACACCGCCUGGGGAGUACGAC